CACAAUAUUACGGGGGGCCGGACCCAAACUGCUGCAGGUGCCUUUGGUAACUGUUGGCAGCUUGACCCGCCCUGUCUGAUAUUCUACCCAUGUCUUUUGCGUACUUUUCGUUUCCUCGGUGGGCUUGCCUGCCGAUAGGACAACCAAUAAAACCUUUUUGUAAUUGCAAUCAGCGUCUGAAAAAACUUUAAUAGUUA
Molecule: unclassified non-coding RNA, 197 nt
Filed under: uncultured Pyrenochaetopsis
Lineage: Eukaryota; Fungi; Ascomycota; Dothideomycetes; Pleosporales; Cucurbitariaceae
Description: sequence contains ITS1
Source: RNAcentral